Molecule: ribosomal RNA, 281 nt
Filed under: uncultured bacterium
Lineage: Bacteria
Description: partial 16S ribosomal RNA
Rfam family: Bacterial small subunit ribosomal RNA
Source: RNAcentral
CUACCCUACGGGGGGCAGCAGUCGGGAAUAUUGCGCAAUGGAGGAAACUCUGACGCAGUGACGCCGCGUGCAGGAAGAAGGUUUUCGGAUUGUAAACUGCUUUAGACAGGGAAGAAACAAGACAGUACCUGUAGAAUAAGCUCCGGCUAACUACGUGCCAGCAGCCGCGGUAAUACGUAGGGAGCAAGCGUUAUCCGGAUUUACUGGGUGUAAAGGGAGCGCAGGCGGUGCGGCAAGUCUGAUGUGAAAGCCCGGGGCUCAACCCCGGGACGGCAUUGGAA